ACAAGCCUGAGAAACGGCUAGUAGGACUACGGUCUGCAGCAGGCGCGAAACUUACACAAUGCUAGAUUCAAGAUAAUUAGCGAUGUAGUGAAGAAAAAUAACGAUGUGCUUGCUUUUAAACAAGCUUGCACAAUUGGAAUGAGACGACUUUAAAGCAGUUAGUCGAGUAACAAAUGGAGGGCAAGUCUGGUGCCAGCAGCCGCGGUAAUUCCAGCUCCAUUAGCAUACAUUAAAGUUGUUGCGGUUAAAAAGCUCGUAGUUGAAUGUAGUGGUGUUUGAAGUGUCUGCUAUCCGUUAAGGUGGUUUCGACUACUGGAUAGUGUGGCACUUUAGAUGCUUGUUUCGUCACUUAAUCGAGUGCGAAGCGGGCGAGGUCGCGCGUUCCUUAACUGAAACGUGUGCGCCUUGCCUGUUUACCUUGAGAAAAUUAGAGUGCUCAGAGCAGGCAGUUGGACUGUAAAAGGUUCUUUAUGCUUGAAUAAUGUUGCAUGGAAUAAUAGAAUACGGCCUCGGUUCUAUUCUGUUGGUCUUAUAGAACAACAAACAAGUUGUGGUAAUCACCAUUGGAUGUUUCGUGUGGGGUUCACUGGGAGUCGUGUUGUCAGAGAGUAAAAUUUCUGUACCUCCUCACAGUAAACAUUAAAACCUACACCCUACAACCAGAUCACUCACAACUGAGGCAAUGGUUAAAAGAAAUAGUCGCGGCGGCAUCAGUACUGCAUCGUGAGAG
RNAcentral lists this ribosomal RNA (730 nucleotides) under Aculus sp. 18sr51. RNAcentral's name for it is "partial 18S ribosomal RNA". It matches the Rfam family "Eukaryotic small subunit ribosomal RNA", at positions 389 to 910 of the family's 1831-position model. The record is from RNAcentral. Lineage: Eukaryota; Metazoa; Arthropoda; Arachnida; Trombidiformes; Eriophyidae.